This 483-nucleotide ribosomal RNA is filed under the name uncultured bacterium. RNAcentral describes it as "partial 16S ribosomal RNA". It matches the Rfam family "Bacterial small subunit ribosomal RNA", at positions 28 to 507 of the family's 1533-position model. The record is from RNAcentral.
GACGAACGCUGGCGGCGUGCUUAACACAUGCAAGUCGAACGCUGAAGCUCAGCUUUUGUUGGGUGGAUGAGUGGCGAACGGGUGAGUAACACGUGAGUAACCUGCCCCCUUCUUUGGGAUAACGCCCGGAAACGGGUGCUAAUACUGGAUAUUCACUGGUCUUCGCAUGGGGGUUGGUGGAAAGGGUUUUUCUGGUGGGGGAUGGGCUCGCGGCCUAUCAGCUUGUUGGUGGGGUGAUGGCCUACCAAGGCUUUGACGGGUAGCCGGCCUGAGAGGGUGACCGGUCACAUUGGGACUGAGAUGCGGCCCAGACUCCUACGGGAGGCAGCAGUGGGGAAUAUUGCACAAUGGGCGCAAGCCUGAUGCAGCGACGCCGCGUGAGGGAUGGAGGCCUUCGGGUUGUGAACCUCUUUCGCUCAUGGUCAAGCCGCAACAAUGGUUGUGGUGAGGGUAGUGGGUAAAGAAGCGCCGGCUAACUACGUG